Molecule: non-coding RNA, 93 nt
Organism: Pelobates cultripes (western spadefoot toad)
Lineage: Eukaryota; Metazoa; Chordata; Amphibia; Anura; Pelobatidae
Source: the annotation of a GenBank genome assembly
AUCAAUGAUCAAUCAUCUUAUGCACUCUACAUCUCUAACCUGCUAUAACAGGUUAGAGAUGUAGAGUGCAUAAGAUGAUUGAUCAGUGGGGGC